AUAAAUAAAACGAUAGAGUACGUAAUAAACGUUAGAGGAAAAUAAGGCCAAAGUGACAGCCGGGUGUGUUUCCAACAGCAGAAAGAGCAAGAGCCAAGACUCUGAAGGCAGAUAUUUUCUUACCUGGAUCAUGACAAGAACUAAGUCAGUCACAUCUGUCGUGUCAGCUCAUUUCCUACUGGAUGUGCUUGCAGAGACAGACACCGCAACAGCGGUCUCCUUUCAUCGGGAAGCAGGACAUAGGCAGAGCGAGGAUGAAAGACCAGGACCUGAGCUGGAAAGGGCAUUCAUGUGGAUUCCCACUCACACCCAGCUUGCUUGCCUACUAUGCAGCAAGACAAAAUGUACAUGCUGCAACUGCACUGAAAUCCAAAGCAUCAGACAUGCUAGGAAAUUAUUACAUAUGGAGAAACAAAGAAGAAAGAACUAAAGAUGUACAGUCUAGAGACUGGAAGUCGGUUUGUCAGAUCUUAAAUUUGUUUUUAAAAUCCAAUUGCUUUGAGUAUCUUUUCCUGUCCUUUUACCCUGUGGUGACAGCUAUCAACCACUGAUGGGAAGGCUCGUUUCUUGGAAGAAACAAAAGGGUGGAUCUUGCUUUCUGACCCAACUUGCUGGUCUGUCUUUUUACCGGGGAAGGUGAGAAUGUUAACACUCAGAGAUAUGAUUAAAGGCGUGUGCUAAUUCCUGU
Molecule: long non-coding RNA, 688 nt
Organism: Mus musculus (house mouse)
Lineage: Eukaryota; Metazoa; Chordata; Mammalia; Rodentia; Muridae
Product: predicted gene, 32399
Exons: 3
Source: RefSeq, a predicted model, not a curated record